Non-coding RNA from Drosophila virilis, 1588 nucleotides. NCBI's taxonomy places the organism in Eukaryota, Metazoa, Arthropoda, Insecta, Diptera, Drosophilidae. The record is from RefSeq and is a predicted model, not a curated record.
CUCACAGAUACUCUCCGGCUGUGGGCUAAGUAAGAGCAUGUAAAAGCUUAUGGAUAUACACCUAUAUGGUAUUUCGACAGUCGCUAAUUAGUUUUCCACAGUACAGCCAUCAAAUUAGCCAGCCAAGAUCAUUAACAACGCGACGCCAACACACAAGAGCAGCAAACCAACCAUUUUGGACCACCAAAAUGGCUAUCAGCAGCGGCCCACAGUCCACGGCCCACUGGCCGAUGGUCAGCGGCAUUCGUAUUGGAAAUGUGAGUGUAAAUGCGAGAGUGUGUGCGUGUGUGGGCAGUAGCUCAUCAGCGAACAGACGCCAACAUUUUGCUGCGCUGAUGGACCACAAAAAAAAAACCAUCUCAUAGAUACGCGCGCACACACACACGCACACACGCACACGCACAUAAUUAAACAAAGUUGGGAUUGGCCACUGAUGCCAGCUGUAUGAGAUCAUAACCAACGGAACGGCCAACAACCCAGUUGCGUUGAAAGCUGCUGUCGAGUCUUCAACAAUACCAAAUUAGUUGCCGUCUUUAUGAUUAUUAUUUUGUAUUUUGUUUUUUUUUUUUUUUUUUUGCGUACGUGUUAUUGUUGCUGCCAUAAUUUGUGGGCCGAAGUAAAGGGGAAGGGGCAAAAACACCAUCUCUUAGAUUUUUCGUGUUGUAUAAUUGUGGCAAAAAUAAAAAUGGUGGCUUCUGGAACGUGUUGUAGUCCAACUUGUGGCAAUAGCCAAUGACAAAGUGAAGCGUAAAUUACGUGUAAUAUGAAAAGACACGUUCAAAUGCACAAAACAAACUUCAAAAUUCCUAAUGAUAAACCGCUUUGGAAUAUGCACUUAGAUUAAAGAAAGAAAAAACAGCGCAUAACCUUAAUUUAAUGAAAUACAUAUUUUGUCAGCCAUUAAAAAAGUGUGCUGCAGACGAAUCUUAUCGCGUAUAUGUUAUCAGUUAUGAUUUGUAUUGAUUUUGCUUGACUGAUAAAUAUGGCAUGACAUCAAAGUAAAAAUAAAAUAAAACUGCAAUGGCCUCAAAGUUGUAAAGCUCAAGUAUUUCCAGGAAAACUUGUUGCAAGUACAUUCAAUUUUUACCUUGUGCGUUAAAAUACAAAAAAUUGCUGAUAAAGCAUUAAAGUUCGUCGACAAAAUCUUGAAGUCAAACGAAAUACUUGUAAAUAUAUGUUGCUUAAAAUGCUGAGCGCUGGCAAGCAUUAACAGCUGUUGUCCAUUUGCGGUGGCUUUAAUGAACUUGACCACAAAAGGAUCGCCAAUUGGAUUUGUAUAAAGCUCAUAUUCAUUAUUUCGGCCACUUACAUAUUCUGGCAGCACACGCACACCCACCUAACAGAACUUGGUAAUAACUAACAACUAAUGUAAAAAAAAUAUAUAUAUAUAUAUAUUUGUAUUUAAUAUUUUGAUUUGCUGCGUAAAGUGGCAAGAACAAUGGAAGCAUCAGCGGAAAUACACAGAAAAAAAAAAAACAAAAUGAAACGUUAAAAAAAAAAAAAAUAGGAAUACAAAAACUGAGCGAGGCAAUGACAGCUGUGGCUGCAAGAGCGAAAAGGAGAGUCGUUGCUGUUGUUGCUGUUGUUC